GGCGACGUAGUGUAGUGGUUAUCACUUUGGACUCUGACCAAUCCAAUAACCCCAGUUCGACUCUGAGCGUUGCCU
Molecule: transfer RNA, 75 nt
Organism: Coccomyxa subellipsoidea C-169
Lineage: Eukaryota; Viridiplantae; Chlorophyta; Trebouxiophyceae; Coccomyxaceae
Rfam family: tRNA
About the family: Transfer RNA (tRNA) molecules are approximately 80 nucleotides in length.
Source: Rfam